RNAcentral lists this ribosomal RNA (373 nucleotides) under uncultured soil bacterium. RNAcentral's name for it is "bacterial SSU rRNA". It matches the Rfam family "Bacterial small subunit ribosomal RNA", at positions 26 to 423 of the family's 1533-position model. The record is from RNAcentral.
AGAACGAACGCUGGCGGCAUGCCUAAUACAUGCAAGUCGAACGAACUCUUCGGAGUUAGUGGCGCACGGGUGCGUAACGCGUGGGAAUCUGCCCUUGGGUUCGGAAUAACAGUUGGAAACGACUGCUAAUACCGGAUGAUGACGAAAGUCCAAAGAUUUAUCGCCCAGGGAUGAGCCCGCGUAGGAUUAGCUAGUUGGUGAGGUAAAGGCUCACCAAGGCGACGAUCCUUAGCUGGUCUGAGAGGAUGAUCAGCCACACGUGGGACUGAGACACGGCCCAGACCUCCUACGGGAGCAGCAGGUAGGAAUAGUGGACAAGUGGGACGAAAGCCGGAUCCAGCAAUCGCGCGUGAGUGAUAGGAGGUCGUUAGGU